UCUCACAGCUAUUAGGUGACUGAGCUAGGAUUUCAACCCAGAUCUGAUGUUUUUCCACAGGUGCUUGUGGAUCCGCCAGGCUGCUGAACUGCUCAGCAGAGUACUUGGCAUUACAGGGAAUGUGGGCUGCACAUUCUGAGAGUGGGUCAAGACCAGGUGCAACAGGAAUCGGGUUCCUGCAAGGCGUGUCUCCUCAGGUGGGUCCCGGAGCACUGGCCCUCCUCAUAAGCCCACAGCUCCUCCCAUCCUCUGCAGACAUGGUCCCAGCACCUCGAAGGCCUCAGAGUCCGCAGAGGCAGGCAGGCAAGAAAUGAACACACAAGCGUGGCUACAACUGCGAUAAAUGCUCUGAAGAAAACGGUGCAGAGAUCGAAACUGGAGAGAAACAUAUGAUACUUGAAAGGAUCUCUCUCUAGCAGGGGACAAACUGAGGGAGCCCUGAAGGAGAAGGACCCUGCCACGGUGUAAGUGGAGGUGGGAACAGCAGUGCAAAGUCCCUGGGGUCAGCAAGCAGACAGCUCUGCUACGGGGGAGGCAUAAAGUGGCUGGAGAGUGGGAGUAGAGGGGCGAGGGCAAGGAUGAGGUCAGAGCAGUCGGUAGGGGCCAAAGCAUACAGGGCCCUGAGGUCAUGGUGGGGACUUAAGGAUUAAUUUCAAAUGGGAAGCCAUUGGAGAGUUUUUGCAGAGGCGUAACAUGCUCUGAUUUCUAUUUUAAAAGAUGAUUCUGGCUGCCAUAUGGAAAUGGGUUCUAUGAGACACCAUUCUGUCUCAGUUUGCUCAUCCCCGCAAUGGGUUCAUGAGAAACUUUGUGAAAAACAUAACCAACAGGUGUCUGGCAGAGAGUUGAUUCUUGGAAGGUAAAAGACAGAAGACUGGAUUUUCCCACCUCAUUACAAACGAGGGAAAUUUGGUCCUAAGUCAUCCAUAAGUCACUGCCCCGCUCAAAACCCUUCGAAGGCUCCACCCACUGUCCUCCGAAUAAAGACUCACCCCCUUCCCUUGGUCCCAAGGUCCUCCUUGAUCUGGUUCCUCAUGUCUCCAGUGCCAUCCCUGGACCUCUCCUCUCCUGCCACCUCAACCACUCGUGGAAUGUGCCAUGGCCCUUUGCCUAGAGCGCAAGGGUUUUUUUUUUUGCUUGCUUGUUUUGUUUUUGGCUGCACCCAUGGCAUCAGGAAGUUCCUGGGCCAGGGAGCAAACCCACAUCACCGCAGUGACUUGAGCCACAGCAGUGACAAUGCCAAGUCCUUAACCGCUAGGCCACCAGGGAACUCCCACAAGGUCUUCUUCACACUGCCAUCACUUGGUCUCCCCCUCCUGCCUGCACCCAUUGAAUGAGCACUUCCUCUGGGCCAGCCCCGUCCCAAACACUGAGAAGCUCAAAACGUGGCUGAAGGUGUGGGUGCAGGUACAUGGAACAAGAAUCCAAAAUAUCCGGCCUGGCCCUCUUCUGGGUGCUGUGCUGGCUCUUAUCCCCUCUCUCAUGCAUCCAUUUCCUGAAGGAAUAUUUAUCGCGUAUGUGCUUGAUGACAGAGACCAUUCCAGGCUCCUGAGCUACCACAGUGACCAAAGAUCCCUGAAUCUUCCUUCUUGUAUUGGAGACAGAAAACAACGAACCUGAUAAGUCAUUUAGUUACUAUGUUAGAGGGUUCUAAGUCCUAUACGGAAAGAAGGAAAGGUUAGACAGGUGAGCGGAGUCGGGAGGUGACUUUAACCCGGGGGGGCAAGGUGGGGCUCACUGAGAAAGUGACAUCAAGUGAGGGAGCCAGCUGGCAGGUAAGUGGGGGAGAAACAGCUGGGGCAAAGGCGCUAAGGUGGGACGGUGCCGGUGGACCCCAGAAAGGCAGGCAGCGCAAGUGGGGGGAGGGAAAGCCAGCGAGGUAACGGGGUGGAGUGUACCCACAGAUGGCACUGAGAUUACCCCUCCCCAGAGAGAGGAAAGGAAGGCAGCACUUUUUCCGCCUGCCUUAUCUGAUGCUGUGGUCGGAGAAGCCAGCGAGGGCAGGCAUGAGGACCGCCGCGCUCGGCACAUCCUACCUCAAUGGGGCCCCGGAGCAGCCGACAUCCGCUCAGCCUGCGGCUUCUUCCUGUGGCUUCCUGCAUCUCAGGUUGCCCCGAUGGCUGCUAUUUUUGCUCCUGUCUGGGGUUCAAUGCAGGGCUUCUCUGUGUACGGGACUGGGGCUGCUGGGCCUGGCCCCUUUCUGGGUUUGCUCUGCUGAGAGCAAUGGGGAGGGGCCAUUUACACGUUCCAAGUGUCCCUGGGGACAUUUACUAUCCAGCCAGUGGGAAAGAAGAAGAAAUUUGUUAUAGGUGUCACUUUGUCAAUCCUCUUGACCCUCCAGGCUCAGAGAGGCUAGGUGGCUUGUCUAAGGUCACACAGCCAAAUCAAACCACAGGCUGAGGAUUCUAACCCAGGCUGUCUACAUCUAAAAGCUAUUAAUUUGUAAGGGAUUCUUUGCAUUUACUCUCUAAAGUAAUGUUUCCCAGGCUGGCAGUCUGUGCUACCCAGGCUUCUAGAAGGCACGAGGAUGAAGAUGCAUCAUCCACAGCUUCAUUCCCCUGAAGCAUCACAGCUCCAAUGAUGGGGAGGGCUGUGCCCGAGUGGGCACAAGAAAGGGGCCCCUGGCCCAGACACUCGGGGGUGGGACGAGGUGGCAAUCAGAGAAGACUUCUGGAAAACAGUGAUGCUGCGACUCUCUCUGCAAGAAUAAACAGGAGUUCAAGAGGUAGAGAAAACAGUCUGGACAAAAGGCAAAACCAAGGAGCAUGACUGUUUUGUUCGUGGGGGAGGGGCUUAGGAAGCAGCAGGGCAGUGAUCCUGCCUGGGAGGGAGGAGCCAGAAGCUAAAGUUUGACUGCAAAACCUGAGACCCCCCACAAGUGCCCCAGCCCCCUGUCCCCCACCCCGGUGGGCUUGGAAGGCUUUGAACAGAUCCAGUGGCACGAAUGGCCAAGGCUUCAAGCAGGCGGUGGUUUGCGGCCAUCCCGCUGGGAGCUGCGAGGGGAGCACCUAAGAGGGAAGGUGAAGGCAGCGAGUUCUGGGUAAGGACCCUGGUGUCACCCCAGCACCGGCAAUAGUGAAGUAGGGAGAUGUCGCUAUACCCUGAAGGUGCAGCCAGCAGGGAGUGAGGCAGAGAAAGGGGUCGGGGAUGACGUAAGCCAAGGAGCAGUCAUGCUGUUUACCGAGACGACGUGCGUGAUGGGGGAGGGCUUGCCCGGGGAUGGGGGCACAUGAAUCAAGAUAAGGACCAUUUAGAGCUACUGUCUCCCGCAGAUAAACUUUCUGGGGUGAGGACAUGCAAAUUAAGGCUGCCUUUCUACACUCACUAUUCCCCCUUCCUUAAUGGGUGGCUGUUCCCAUGGCCUCAAUUGUUCUGCACAGCAAGUAAGACCCACAGAAGGUGAGAAUGUUGCCCAAGGUCUCAAAGCCAGAAAUCAAGAGGGCAAAGCCUGCCCUUCCAGACCAACCUGACUGCCAUCCCAACACUCAUCUCACCAGGGUGAGGGGGAGCCUCACGCCUUCCCCCGAAAAUGGCACCGCAGGGUCUCAGGAAAACUGGGGGAUCCACUGCCCAUCUCUGAUAGUUCAGGGCUACAUCGGCCAUGGUUCAUACAGGAACGUUUGCCAGGCCUCCUAGCUGGGCAGAGAUGGUAAUUCCUGAGCAACCCUCAGCGCGUGAGGUGACCACAGCAGGGGCCACUGGGGUAGUCCCCACGGUGCCUGAGCUGACUCUUUGACACUCAAAUCUCUGCCUCUGCUCCCGAUGUCAUUAAUUACUGGUUUGCAGAUGCACAAGGCAGCACAGGUGCCACUAACCAUGGGAAGGAAAUUCAUUUCAAAUAUGAAGCUCGUUCUCUGCUGGAGCAACCCCCCCUCCCCGCCCGGCACAACACUCAUUUCCAACGUGGACCAGCCCAAAUUACUUCUUUGAGGGAAUGAGAGGCCAGGAAAGGUGAAGAACUUGCCCCAGAUCAGAAAGCAAUGCAGGGCUGGAUACACCCAUGCAACCCCGUCUCCAUAAAUAUUCAAUGGGUGCCUGCUGGGUGUCACACCUGGCGUGCCAGCAGAUACCUUGCACCCCAAUCAAAGGCUCUUCAGUCUCCCUUUCCCAAGAGAGGAGAGGAUUUUUAUUUACUGAGCACCAACCAAGUGCUUUAUAGAUCCUGAAUCCUCCUAACAAUCAGUCAUUUUGUAGGAGAGGGCACACGGACUCAGAGAGGGAAGGUGACCUGCCCAAGAUCAUACGGCAAGCACAGGGCAGAGGCAGGGCUCAAAGUAAACCCAAGUAAAGGUGGGUUCAGCUUCAGUUCUCCGGGUUCAGGGUGUGUGCAGAGUAGUGAUACUCCAGCCACACCUGCCCUUCCAAGACCCACCCUCCUCCCCCGCCAGGCCUUCCUUCCUGACCCGGACCGGGGCUCGCAACAAACACUAGUUUACUAGCUGGCUAUUGUCUUGAGAUCCCAGUUGUCUGACACAACGCUGUGACUGGUAUUCAGUAAGCCGUUCGGGAAAUGUUAAAAACAAGAGUCUGUUCUGUUUCAAGACAGCCAGUAAGCCCCUGUAAUUUACUCCUCUCCCUGUCAAGAGUCCACGGAUGUGACCAGAGACAGAGAAAUUCAUAUCAGUCAAGGCUGCAAAGCAGACUGUGGCCCUGCAUUCAAGCUCCCUAAGAAGAGAACCAGAACACAGAGCCUCUGGCUACAAGGUCAAGGGGAGAGCUCCCCAGGAGAUACAUACACAUGCACGUGCAGGCAUACAAACACACACAAACACGCACAUGAGUGUGAGCCAUCAAAUCCUCCUCCUGAGCAAAGCUGGAUAUUACGGGUCAAUUGUUCAUUAAUUUACCCAAAAUUUAUAGAGGUCCUAUCACAUACUAGGUAAAUAAAGCAUUAGGCUGUAUGUGUGUGUGUCAUUGUCUGUAUGUGAACAUAUAUGCAUACACACACACACACACACACACAGUCAUCACAACACAGGGAAGUAGGUAUCGGUGCCCCCAUUUUAUGGAUGAGGAGACUGAGACUUGCAAGGCUCAAGAAGCUUGUCCAAAGUCACAGACCGUAUUUGUGGCAGAGCUGAGAUGUGCAACCUGUGCCUAGCCCAGACCCUGGUACACAGCGGGCACUCAACAGCUUUUUCCUCAGUGGCUGGCUGGCCCUGAAGCCCUUCGCAGGGGCCUGUGACCGCCUGCGUUUAGACCCAGUGUGCAGACACUGGAGAUCACACAGAGGGCACAGAAGCUCCCGUUUCUUGGUCUCUCUCAGUUGACCUGGGAUAGGCCAAGCCAGGAAAAGCAGGCCUGAGAGUGGCUUCCAUUUCUAGGACACAUGUGCACACAGCCAGUCUGGCAACAAUGCCUGUGAUGAAUCGGAGUGCCAGAAGAGGUCAGGCCUCCUGCCUGCUAGGCUCAGCUGGGUGCAGCCCUGAGACCGUCACAAGCCCCACCCCCAACUCAGCCAACUCCCAUCACAAAGAAUCUCCCCGGGGACAGCAGGAAAACGCCACAAAGGUUAGUUUUCGGCCCCUAGGAUGUGUGUACACGUCUGCCCUCGAAUCUGUGACGAUGCCCUUCCUCAUUUUGUGCUGUCCUUUCCUCUACAAAAAAAAGGAUCCCAACUGGCUUACCUUUCCAGUAUCAUUAAUGGAGAAAAGGCAAAGGUGGCACUCACUAAAUCCGGGAGGCAUUUUUUGCUGAUGCCCUAAACUCCAAAAUCCAAUGGAAGAGGCAGCUCAAACUUUGUUCCUGGGGGCGUCCCUGGCUCCUCCUCACCCCUUCCGUCUUGAAAGGCCCUUCCCAUUCCUUCAUCCCAGGUACCCUCUGAGUUCCUACCAGGCCAUGGGCCAUCUCCAUGCUUGCUUCCAUCUGAGUUGGCCAGACGCCCCCCAUCACACCUGGCCAGGCCCACUGCAGGGUAUGUUAAGGCAUGAAUGAAUGAACAAACAAAUGCUUCCUGAGCAUCUGGGCACCAAGACCUGUUCUCCAGGGGUUGGUACCAGCCACUUUCAGAACUGCUUUUCAAGAAGGAGCUGCCAACUGCAGGCCUCCUAGACCUUCCAAAGCAUCUUUAUUCUACAAUGUGACAGACACCUGUUCAGGUCCCCGCCUGCCCCCACCCAGACAUCUGUCUUCACCCCGCAGCACCCGCCUGACCACCUCCACCCAGGAG
RNAcentral lists this long non-coding RNA (6166 nucleotides) under Sus scrofa (pig). RNAcentral's name for it is "lncRNA (ENSSSCG00015062047.1)". Lineage: Eukaryota; Metazoa; Chordata; Mammalia; Artiodactyla; Suidae. The record is from RNAcentral.